AUGACGGCGGCGGUGGCUCAGAGCCAUGAGUGUGACGGAGGCUGGGGAAAGAACGGAAACACUACUGCUCGCGAUGACAGGAUGGUGCCAUGUGUGCACUGCCCCAAGGCUGCAACUGCUUCCUCCAGUCGUCCCCCCUCCAUGGCUACAUCUUGGUCUCGCUUAGCUACUAGUAUAGUGCAGAUUGCUUUCUCUAUUCAAUUGAUUUUGUUGUCUAUGUAUUACCUGAACUCCAAGGGAACCAACUUACAUGGUGUAAUGGAUGGAGGUGUUAUUGGGGCGUCUUUUUUCAUGGUUCGAAACAAGAUGUUGCUGCUGUUGGAGCUCACAGAGAAUGGUAUUAUGAUAGUCUACUUGCUUCUGAAGUGA
This 369-nucleotide ribosomal RNA is filed under the name Triticum aestivum (bread wheat). RNAcentral describes it as "partial small subunit ribosomal RNA". Lineage: Eukaryota; Viridiplantae; Streptophyta; Magnoliopsida; Poales; Poaceae. The record is from RNAcentral.